This 264-nucleotide long non-coding RNA is filed under the name Sorghum bicolor (sorghum). Its description in RNAcentral is "long non-coding RNA (SBIC_LNC015704)". The record is from RNAcentral. Lineage: Eukaryota; Viridiplantae; Streptophyta; Magnoliopsida; Poales; Poaceae.
UCACACUUGUACUCAUAAACUUCUUAUUGUUGUAUCAGCACACUGGUACAUCGGCAAGGACUAGAAGCAUGACUGCAGAUGCCCCCCAGUCCAGUCAACCGAACAGAAAGGCUCUAAGAGUACCAGAUCACAAGAGAAGCACCAUAAAACAGCAACGCCUUCUCCUCCCCCAGUAUCUCCGAUCCAAGUAGAAUCAUCCCCUUCUCCUCCAGAAACUCAGACACAGCAGAUUCCAUCUCCUUCUCAGUCACAAGAAGAACCCCA